Molecule: long non-coding RNA, 1855 nt
Organism: Penaeus indicus
Lineage: Eukaryota; Metazoa; Arthropoda; Malacostraca; Decapoda; Penaeidae
Exons: 4
Source: RefSeq, a predicted model, not a curated record
AAAAAGUUCAUCUGGGGAGGAAAAAAAAAAACUUUGGUUUAUUUUUGUUUUGUUUUGUUUUUUCGUUUCGUUGGUUUAAGUUUGGUUCUUGAGUGACGUAUGAUGCGAGAAACUUUUAUUUGUUUGUUUCUAUAUAUAUAUUUUUUAUAUGAGACUUUUCUAUGACUGAAAAUAGUGGAAGACAUUCAAAAGGAACAUUUAGAUAACUUAAUUCCAUUUGCAUACUGUGAAAUAAAUCUUUACUUGCUUUUAGUUUCUGAUCGUCUACGAAUAUUUAGUUUUCGAACACGCGACGUAUAAACGCUAAAGAGAAGACGAAGGGAAAAAAAAUCCACAGAAAAGGAUGAGCGAAAAUGAAAAUCGAAAGUGAAAGAAAGUGAAAAUAAAGCAUAAUUAAUCAUUUAACAACAGAAACAAGAACGUAAAGUGAAGCGUCUUUUGAAUCGUCAUCCCAAACUCGACAAUUAAAAAUAAAUAAAUAAAGAAAAGCAACAAAGAAACAGACAAACAAACCGAUUAAGGAUUUUUCUUUGUUUCUCUUCCAUUUUUUUGGAGAGAGAAAGGAAAGACAAAAAAAAAAAAAAAAAAAAAAACGAUUGUGCUUCUUCUUCUUCUCCUUUUCUUAAGAAGUUUAUUCCUCGUAAACUUCCCUUAAUCAUGAACGUAAUUUCGAAUCAAACCUUUUGAAUUAAAAGUUACAAAUGCGACCAUCAACAAGAUACGACCACUCUCGCUACAACGACCACUAGAAGGCGAGAAAUAAGCGGAGAGAAAGAGAUAGAGAAAGAGAAAGGAAGAGACAGACAGACACACACGCAUACGUGAGCAGCAGCGGCCCAGGACACCUUCCGCAGAUUCGGAUCUUUAGAAAUACCGUUGGGAAAAAGAAAGAAAAAAAAUCAGCUACUAAGAGACAUCAACACAAGAAGUAAAAAAAAAAAAAACAAGAAAAAAAGGAGAAAAAAAAAGAAGAAAAUACAUCACUUUGACGACCUUUUGAUCCUUCGACAAGAAAAGAAACAAAAAAAUCUACAAGGAAGAUCCCACCGCUGCUAACAACACCUGGACAGAUUCAGCCGCAUCAGGAAACCGCUGUUGCCUGACUAAUAGCUGCUGUCUAGUUAACCGCUUCCGUUUUGGGCUAACAGAUGCUACCUAUCUAUCAACAACUAUUUGAUUAAUAGCUGUUAUCUGGCUAACAGUUGUUCUCUCUGACAGCUGGUAUUUGGAUAACACUUAUUGUCUGUCUAACAAAUGCUAUCGAACUAAUAACUUUUGAUAAAUAGUUGUUGCCUACUUAAUAGCCGCUGUCCAACAAACAGCUGUUAUCUGACUAACAAAUAUCUACCUAAAAGCUGCAGUCUAAGGAACAGCUGCUAUAAAACAAACAGCUUUAGUAAACCGGACAGGAGAGUGAUGACUUUUACGAGUGAUGGAUGAGAUGAGACAAAAGAUUUUAUACAUCUCUUUCUACAACCAUUAUUACCGAGAGAAUAGCGAGAGAUAGAGGAAAAAGUGGAGGAAAUUAUGUACACUGCAAUAUUGCUUGAUAUCCUUGUGUGAGGUAACGAUAACACUUGUUUGAUUAAAAGAGAGCUGUGUAUACAAAAUCAGCGGAUGGAAAACCAGACUUAGAGGAAAGUCGAGUGUUUGGAAUAGCGCAGAGAAGAUCGAGAAAUACGGCGUUAACCAACCUUCGUGUGGUGGGGCUUAAUUUCCGCUGAGGAGUGAGAUUACCUUCUCCCGUGAUUGGGCCCUCUUUAAGAAUUCUAAUUAACAGACAACACAAGGCUAAACAACAUUAAGAGUAGAAAAAAGAAAGCAAAAGAAGAAAAAAAUAAACAUUUUGUGUCAU